RNAcentral lists this ribosomal RNA (450 nucleotides) under uncultured cyanobacterium. RNAcentral describes it as "bacterial SSU rRNA". It matches the Rfam family "Bacterial small subunit ribosomal RNA", at positions 8 to 505 of the family's 1533-position model. The record is from RNAcentral. Lineage: Bacteria; Bacillati; Cyanobacteriota.
AGAGUUUGAUCAUGGCUCAGGAUGAACGCUGGCGGUAUGCUUAACACAUGCAAGUCGAACGAAAUCUUCGGAUUUAGUGGCGGACGGGUGAGUAACGCGUGAGAAUCUACUCUUAGAUUGGGGACAACAGUUGGAAACGACUGCUAAUACCGAAUGUGCCGAAAGGUAAAAGAUUUAUCGUCUGAGAAUGAGCUCGCGUUGGAUUAGCUAGUUGGAGUGGUAAUGGCACACCAAGGCGACGAUCCAUAACUGGUCUGAGAGGAUGACCAGUCACACUGGGACUGAGACACGGCCCAGACUCCUACGGGAGGCAGCAGUGGGGAAUUUUCCGCAAUGGGCGAAAGCCUGACGGAGCAAUACCGCGUGAGGGAGGAAGGCUCUUGGGUCGUAAACCUCUUUUAUUAGGGAAGAAGAUCUGACGGUACCUAAUGAAUCAGCUCGAAUGCCCCG